RNAcentral lists this ribosomal RNA (301 nucleotides) under uncultured bacterium. Its description in RNAcentral is "partial 16S ribosomal RNA". It matches the Rfam family "Bacterial small subunit ribosomal RNA", at positions 509 to 807 of the family's 1533-position model. The record is from RNAcentral.
CAGUCGCCGCGGUAAAACGGAGGGGGCUAGCGUUGUUCGGAAUUACUGGGCGUAAAGCGCACGUAGGCGGCUUGGUAAGUUAGAGGUGAAAGCCUGGAGCUCAACUCCAGAAUUGCCUUUAAGACUGCCGAGCUAGCAGGUGAGAGAGGUAAGUGGAAUUCCGAGUGUAGAGGUGAAAUUCGUAGAUAUUCGGAAGAACACCAGUGGCGAAGGCGGCUUACUGGCUCAUACUGGACGCUGAGGUGCGAAGGCGUGGGGAGCAAACAGGAUUAGAUACCCGCGUAGUCCCUGUCUCUUAUAC